RNAcentral lists this ribosomal RNA (466 nucleotides) under uncultured bacterium. Its description in RNAcentral is "partial 16S ribosomal RNA". It matches the Rfam family "Bacterial small subunit ribosomal RNA", at positions 28 to 507 of the family's 1533-position model. The record is from RNAcentral.
GAUGAACGCUGGCGGCGUGCUUAACACAUGCAAGUCGAACGGAAAGGCCCAAGCUUGCUUGGGUACUCGAGUGGCGAACGGGUGAGUAACACGUGGGUGAUCUGCCCUGCACUUCGGGAUAAGCCUGGGAAACUGGGUCUAAUACCGGAUAGGACCACAUUUUGGAUGGUGUGGUGGAAAGUUUUUCGGUGUGGGAUGAGCUCGCGGCCUAUCAGCUUGUUGGUGGGGUAAUGGCCUACCAAGGCGUCGACGGGUAGCCGGCCUGGGAGAGUGUACGGCCACAUUGGGACUGAGAUACGGCCCAGACUCCUACGGGAGGCAGCAGUGGGGAAGAUUGCACAAUGGGCGCAAGCCUGAUGCAGCGACGCCGCGUGGGGGAUGACGGCCUUCGGGUUGGAAACUCCUUUCGCUAGGGACGAAGCGUUAUGUGACGGUACCUGGAGAAGAAGCACCGGCUAACUACGUG